GACGAACGCUGGCGGCGUGCUUAACACAUGCAAGUCGAACGGAAAGGCCCUGCUUUUGUGGGGUGCUCGAGUGGCGAACGGGUAAGUAACACGUGAGUAACCUGCCCUUGACUUUGGGAUAACUUCAGGAAACUGGGGCUAAUACCGGAUAGGAGCUCCUGCUGCAUGGUGGGGGUUGGAAAGUUUCGGCGGUUGGGGAUGGACUCGCGGCUUAUCAGCUUGUUGGUGGGGUAGUGGCUUACCAAGGCUUUGGCGGGUAGCCGGCCUGAGAGGGUGACCGGCCACAUUGGGACUGAGAUACGGCCCGGCCUCCUACGGGAGGCAGCGGUGGGGAUUAUUGCACAAUGGGCGGAAGCCGGAUGCGGCAACGCCGCGGGCGGGAUGACGGCCUUCGGGUUUUAACCCGCUUUCGCCUGUGACGAAGCGUGAGUGACGGUAAUGGGUAAAGAAGCACCGGCUAACUACGUG
Molecule: ribosomal RNA, 468 nt
Filed under: uncultured bacterium
Lineage: Bacteria
Description: partial 16S ribosomal RNA
Rfam family: Bacterial small subunit ribosomal RNA
Source: RNAcentral